AUACUUACCUGGACGGGGUCAAUGGGCGUUCAAUAAGACCCAUGGCCUAGGUUUGUGACCUCCAUUGCACUUUGGAGGGGUGCUUACCUAAGGUCGGCCCAAGUGGUCGAGCCUUCGUCAUAAUUUGUUGCAGUGGGGGCCUGCGUUCGCGCAGCCCCUAC
RNAcentral lists this small nuclear RNA (161 nucleotides) under Solanum tuberosum (potato). RNAcentral's name for it is "snRNA U1". It matches the Rfam family "U1 spliceosomal RNA". From Rfam's summary of the family: U1 is a small nuclear RNA (snRNA) component of the spliceosome (involved in pre-mRNA splicing). Lineage: Eukaryota; Viridiplantae; Streptophyta; Magnoliopsida; Solanales; Solanaceae. The record is from Rfam by way of RNAcentral.